GGUAAAAGAAAGGGGGGGGGGGGGGAGCACGCUUGAUAUGAGGAAAGCUAGUGCCUGGAAAACAUAGGGUUAAAGUACUUUUAGCUUAACUUAGGUCGAAGAUAAAGAACAGUGUUUAUGUUGUAAGUCUGUGAUUAUUUAGCAGCCUCACUAAACAUGAGUAAAUUAUUUCACACCAUCCUUCUACUUACAGUUAAGAGACAGAGCCUCCCGAACAUCUGCUAGCUUUGGAUACUCCUUGUCUGCCCAUCCUGCAAUAAAUUCUGCAGGAAGGUCACACUGUUCUAAAUCUUUGCCAGCUAUCAGAAAAAUUAUGGAUCUGGCUGGUUUCAGCUAGUUGUGUGAUUACUGGGGCAUCCAACUAUGCCAAAGGUGAAAAGUACACCGUGAGGAAGACUGCUUACUUCAUCUUGAAGACCCCUACUCACAAGAGGAAGACUGUUUACCUCAUCCUCAAGACCCCUGCCCACAAUCACCACAGAGCAGUGUGCAGACACCAAGAGGAGGAGACUUAUGAUAAUAAAUUCUUGAGGCUAGUUAUAAUAUCCCCCGCCCAUACGUGGGAAUUAUGAAUAUGUAUGUAACUAAUGUAAUAGUGAAAGUAUAUAAACCUGUAACAAAUGCUAAUCACUUGCGCCUCUGGCUACGGUCAUGUGCCCAGCGCUGUUGCUUUUGCUUUAUUGACUUUGUCCCUCAAUAAAACCUUGCUAUCUUGUUUA
Long non-coding RNA from Pezoporus occidentalis (night parrot), 719 nucleotides. RefSeq lists it as uncharacterized. NCBI's taxonomy places the organism in Eukaryota, Metazoa, Chordata, Aves, Psittaciformes, Psittacidae. The transcript is spliced from 2 exons. The record is from RefSeq and is a predicted model, not a curated record.